CAGUCGAACGAUGAUGCCCAGCUUGCUGGGUGGAUUAGUGGCGAACGGGUGAGUAAUACGUGAGUAACCUGCCCUUGACUCUGGGAUAAGCCUGGGAAACUGGGUCUAAUACUGGAUACUACCUCUUACCGCAUGGUGGGUGGUGGAAAGGGUUUUACUGGUUUUGGAUGGGCUCACGGCCUAUCAGCUUGUUGGUGGGGUAAUGGCUCACCAAGGCGACGACGGGUAGCCGGCCUGAGAGGGUGACCGGCCACACUGGGACUGAGACACGGCCCAGACUCCUACGGGAGGCAGCAGUGGGGAAUAUUGCACAAUGGGCGGAAGCCUGAUGCAGCGACGCCGCGUGAGGGAUGACGGCCUUCGGGUUGUAAACCUCUUUCAGUAGGGAAGAAGCGAGAGUGACGGUACCUGCAGAAGAAGCGCCGGCUAACUACGUGCCAGCAGCCGCGGUAAUACGUAGGGCGCAAGCGUUGUCCGGAAUUAUUGGGCGUAAAGAGCUCGUAGGCGGUUUGUCGCGUCUGCUGUGAAAGCCCGGGGCUCAACCCCGGGUCUGCAGUGGGUACGGGCAGACUAGAGUGCAGUAGGGGAGACUGGAAUUCCUGGUGUAGCGGUGAAAUGCGCAGAUAUCAGGAGGAACACCGAUGGCGAAGGCAGGUCUCUGGGCUGUUACUGACGCUGAGGAGCGAAAGCAUGGGGAGCGAACAGGAUUAGAUACCCUGGUAGUCCAUGCCGUAAACGUUGGGCACUAGGUGUGGGGGACAUUCCACGUUUUCCGCGCCGUAGCUAACGCAUUAAGUGCCCCGCCUGGGGAGUACGGCCGCAAGGCUAAAACUCAAAGGAAUUGACGGGGGCCCGCACAAGCGGCGGAGCAUGCGGAUUAAUUCGAUGCAACGCGAAGAACCUUACCAAGGCUUGACAUUCACCGGACCGCCCCAGAGAUGGGGUUUCCCUUCGGGGCUGGUGGACAGGUGGUGCAUGGUUGUCGUCAGCUCGUGUCGUGAGAUGUUGGGUUAAGUCCCGCAACGAGCGCAACCCUCGUUCUAUGUUGCCAGCACGUGAUGGUGGGGACUCAUAGGAGACUGCCGGGGUCAACUCGGAGGAAGGUGGGGAUGACGUCAAAUCAUCAUGCCCCUUAUGUCUUGGGCUUCACGCAUGCUACAAUGGCCGGUACAAAGGGUUGCGAUACUGUGAGGUGGAGCUAAUCCCAAAAAGCCGGUCUCAGUUCGGAUUGAGGUCUGCAACUCGACCUCAUGAAGUCGGAGUCGCUAGUAAUCGCAGAUCAGCAACGCUGCGGUGAAUACGUUCCCGGGCCUUGUACACACCGCCCGUCAAGUCACGAAAGUUGGUAACACCCGAAGCCGGUGGCCUAACCCCUUGUGGGAGGGAGCCG
RNAcentral lists this ribosomal RNA (1390 nucleotides) under Kocuria sp. TMS2-13. Its description in RNAcentral is "bacterial SSU rRNA". It matches the Rfam family "Bacterial small subunit ribosomal RNA". The record is from RNAcentral. Lineage: Bacteria; Bacillati; Actinomycetota; Actinomycetes; Micrococcales; Micrococcaceae.